This 1319-nucleotide ribosomal RNA is filed under the name Staphylococcus aureus. RNAcentral's name for it is "bacterial SSU rRNA". It matches the Rfam family "Bacterial small subunit ribosomal RNA", at positions 224 to 1533 of the family's 1533-position model. The record is from RNAcentral. Lineage: Bacteria; Bacillati; Bacillota; Bacilli; Caryophanales; Staphylococcaceae.
GAUGGAUCCGCGCUGCAUUAGCUAGUUGGUAAGGUAACGGCUUACCAAGGCAACGAUGCAUAGCCGACCUGAGAGGGUGAUCGGCCACACUGGAACUGAGACACGGUCCAGACUCCUACGGGAGGCAGCAGUAGGGAAUCUUCCGCAAUGGGCGAAAGCCUGACGGAGCAACGCCGCGUGAGUGAUGAAGGUCUUCGGAUCGUAAAACUCUGUUAUUAGGGAAGAACAUAUGUGUAAGUAACUGUGCACAUCUUGACGGUACCUAAUCAGAAAGCCACGGCUAACUACGUGCCAGCAGCCGCGGUAAUACGUAGGUGGCAAGCGUUAUCCGGAAUUAUUGGGCGUAAAGCGCGCGUAGGCGGUUUUUUAAGUCUGAUGUGAAAGCCCACGGCUCAACCGUGGAGGGUCAUUGGAAACUGGAAAACUUGAGUGCAGAAGAGGAAAGUGGAAUUCCAUGUGUAGCGGUGAAAUGCGCAGAGAUAUGGAGGAACACCAGUGGCGAAGGCGACUUUCUGGUCUGUAACUGACGCUGAUGUGCGAAAGCGUGGGGAUCAAACAGGAUUAGAUACCCUGGUAGUCCACGCCGUAAACGAUGAGUGCUAAGUGUUAGGGGGUUUCCGCCCCUUAGUGCUGCAGCUAACGCAUUAAGCACUCCGCCUGGGGAGUACGACCGCAAGGUUGAAACUCAAAGGAAUUGACGGGGACCCGCACAAGCGGUGGAGCAUGUGGUUUAAUUCGAAGCAACGCGAAGAACCUUACCAAAUCUUGACAUCCUUUGACAACUCUAGAGAUAGAGCUUUCCCCUUCGGGGGACAAAGUGACAGGUGGUGCAUGGUUGUCGUCAGCUCGUGUCGUGAGAUGUUGGGUUAAGUCCCGCAACGAGCGCAACCCUUAAGCUUAGUUGCCAUCAUUAAGUUGGGCACUCUAAGUUGACUGCCGGUGACAAACCGGAGGAAGGUGGGGAUGACGUCAAAUCAUCAUGCCCCUUAUGAUUUGGGCUACACACGUGCUACAAUGGACAAUACAAAGGGCAGCGAAACCGCGAGGUCAAGCAAAUCCCAUAAAGUUGUUCUCAGUUCGGAUUGUAGUCUGCAACUCGACUACAUGAAGCUGGAAUCGCUAGUAAUCGUAGAUCAGCAUGCUACGGUGAAUACGUUCCCGGGUCUUGUACACACCGCCCGUCACACCACGAGAGUUUGUAACACCCGAAGCCGGUGGAGUAACCUUUUAGGAGCUAGCCGUCGAAGGUGGGACAAAUGAUUGGGGUGAAGUCGUAACAAGGUAGCCGUAUCGGAAGGUGCGGCUGGAUCACCUCCUUU